Molecule: ribosomal RNA, 400 nt
Filed under: uncultured bacterium
Lineage: Bacteria
Description: bacterial SSU rRNA
Rfam family: Bacterial small subunit ribosomal RNA
Source: RNAcentral
UCGAGAAUAUUCCACAAUGGACGAAAGUCUGAUGGAGCGACACCGCGUGCAGGAAGAAGGCCUUCGGGUCGUAAACUGCCGUAGCUGGGGAAGAAUUUUCGUGACGGUACCCAGCGAACAGAGGUUGGUAACUACGUGCCAGCACCCGCGGUAAUACGUAGACCUCAAGCGUUAUCCGGAUUUAUUGGGCGUAAAGCGCGUGUAGGAGGUUCGGUGCGUCCCUGGUUAAAGCCCACUGCCUAACGGUGGAACUGCCGGGGAUACGAUCGAACUAGAGGAAGUUAGAGGCACAUGGAACGCACGGUGUAGGGGUGACAUCCGUUGAUAUCGUGCGGAACACCAAAGGCGAAGGCAGUGUGCUGGGACUUUCCUGACUCUGAGACGCGAAAGCGUGGGGAGC